RNAcentral lists this ribosomal RNA (396 nucleotides) under Triticum aestivum (bread wheat). RNAcentral's name for it is "partial small subunit ribosomal RNA". The record is from RNAcentral. Lineage: Eukaryota; Viridiplantae; Streptophyta; Magnoliopsida; Poales; Poaceae.
AUGGUUGAGGAACCAGAUGGAAGAGAAUGGAGACUCUCUGGGGUGUACGGGGAGCCUAGCUGGGAUAACAAGGAGCGUACAUACCAACUAAUACAUGACUUGCAUGCUCAGUCUAGUCUUCCGUGGGUGGCGAUAGGAGAUUUUAACGAGAUUCUACUCUCAUCGGAAAAAGAAGGCGGAGCCCCGAGUCAUCAGUCGCGACUACAAGCCUUCCAAGACGCAUUGGCAGAUUGUUCCUUAGAGGACAUUGGGUUUCAUGGUGACAAAUUCACUUGGUUCCGUGGCGGCCUGAAAGAGCGUGUUGAUCGAGCCGUUUCAACCGGCGACUGGAUGGAGAUGCACCCGUUAUUUGGACUUUGCAACCUGGAGAUGGGGCAGUCGGACCACCGACCUAUA